AGGGAAUCUUCGGCAAUGGACGAAAGUCUGACCGGGCAACGCCGCGUGAGUGAAGAAGGUUUUCGGAUCGUAAAACUCUGUUGUUAGAGAAGAACAAGGAUGAGAGUAAAAUGUUCAUCCCUUGACGGUAUCUAACCAGAAAGCCACGGCUAACUACGUGCCAGCAGCCGCGGUAAUACGUAGGUGGCAAGCGUUGUCCGGAUUUAUUGGGCGUAAAGCGAGCGCAGGCGGUUUCUUAAUUAUGAUGUGAAAGCCCCCGGCUCAACCGGGGAGGGUCAUUGGAAACUGGGAAAAUUGAGUGCAGAAGAGGAGAGUGGAAUUCCAUGUGUAGCGGUGAAAUGCGUAGAUAUAUGGAAGAAUACCAGUGGCGAAGGCGCCCUUCUGGACUGUAACUGACACUGAGGCUCGAAAGCGUGGGGAGCAAAC
Molecule: ribosomal RNA, 426 nt
Filed under: uncultured bacterium
Lineage: Bacteria
Description: bacterial SSU rRNA
Rfam family: Bacterial small subunit ribosomal RNA
Source: RNAcentral